CACGCUUGACAUGUCUCGUAUGGUUUCCAGAGAUGGAUUCCUUCAGUUCGGCUGGCGAGAACACAGGUGCUGCAUGGCUGUCGUCAGCUCGUGUCGUGAGAUGUUGGGUUAAGUCCCGCAACGAGCGCAACCCUCGCUACUAGUUGCUACCAGGUUAAGCUGAGCACUCUAGUGGAACUGCCGGUGGCAAGCCGGAGGAAGGUGGGGAUGACGUCAAGU
This 219-nucleotide ribosomal RNA is filed under the name uncultured bacterium. Its description in RNAcentral is "partial 16S ribosomal RNA". It matches the Rfam family "Bacterial small subunit ribosomal RNA", at positions 979 to 1190 of the family's 1533-position model. The record is from RNAcentral.